AUGACCAUCGGUGGCCCCCGCGGCCGGCACCCCCGCCUCCAGAUGCCCUGUCUGCGCAAGGUGAGAGCACCGGCACCGGCCUCACGGGCACCGGGCACCGCACCGGGCACCGCACCGGGCACGGGCAGCGGGGACCGGGCACAAGCACCGCGGGGACCGAGCACCGCGGGAACAGGGCACCGGCACCGUGGGGACCGGGUACCGAAGGGAGAGGGUGCUGGCACCGUGGGGACAGGAUACCGGCACCGUGGGGACCGGGGACCGAGGGGAGAGGGCGCUGGCAGCCCGGGGAGCGGGCACCGGCAUCGUGGGGACCGGGGACCGAGGGGAGAGGGUGCUGGCACCGUGGGGAUAGGGCACCGGCACCGUGGGGACCGGGUCCUGAGGGGAGCGGGCGCUGGCACCGUGGGGACCGGGUAUCGAGGGGAGCGGGCGCUGGCAGCCCGGGGAGCGGGCACCGGCACUACUCUGGACGCCGCGGGCAUCGGGGACUGGGAGUCGGGGAUCACCGGCGACCCGGGGGUACCGGCACCACCCCGUGUCCCGUGGGACAGUGGGCACCACCCCGGCCCCGCCACGGGCCCCCGGGAACCGCCCCACGAGGGGACACCCCCGGAGCCCCUGCCCCGGGCGCUGCCACAGCCCCGGAAGAGCUCGGUCCCCAAACCGGGGCUCCCCGGCCCAGGGAUGCCCGGCGGCGGGGUGCCUGCACCCCCGGCGUUGGACGCUCGCCCAGCUGUGGGGUGCCAGGCUGUCCCUCAGCCGGGCACAGCGUGCCCCAGAACCGGCUGUGGGGUGCCAGGCUGUCCCCAGAACAGGGUGUCCUGGGUCGGGGCAGGGGUGGCCAGGCUGUCCCUGGGCUGGGCACAGCGUGCUCCAGAUCCAGCUUUGGGUGCCAGGCUGUCCCUAGAAUGGACACAGGGUGCCCCAGAUCCAGCUGUGGGGUGCCAGGCUGUCCCUAGAAUGGACACAGGGUGCCCCAGAUCCAGCUGUGGGGUGCCAGGCUGUCCCUAG
RNAcentral lists this long non-coding RNA (1014 nucleotides) under Calidris pygmaea (Spoon-billed sandpiper). Its description in RNAcentral is "lncRNA (ENSCPGG00000006394.1)". The record is from RNAcentral. Lineage: Eukaryota; Metazoa; Chordata; Aves; Charadriiformes; Scolopacidae.